UGAGGAAUAUUGGUCAAUGGGCGAGAGCCUGAACCAGCCAAGUAGCGUGCAGGAUGACGGCCCUAUGGGUUGUAAACUGCUUUUAUAUGGGAAUAAAGUGAGGGACGUGUCCCUUAUUGCAUGUACCAUACGAAUAAGGACCGGCUAAUUCCGUGCCAGCAGCCGCGGUAAUACGGAAGGUCCAGGCGUUAUCCGGAUUUAUUGGGUUUAAAGGGAGCGUAGGCUGUUUGUUAAGCGUGUUGUGAAAUGUAGGAGCUCAACUUUUAGAUUGCAGCGCGAACUGGCAGACUUGAGUGCGCACAACGCAGGCGGAAUUCAUGGUGUAGCGGUGAAAUGCUUAGAUAUCAUGACGAACUCCGAUUGCGAAGGCAGCUUACGGGAGCGCAACUGACGCUAAAGCUCGAAGGUGCGGGUAUCGAACAGG
This 424-nucleotide ribosomal RNA is filed under the name Verrucomicrobiota bacterium. RNAcentral's name for it is "Verrucomicrobia bacterium partial 16S ribosomal RNA". It matches the Rfam family "Bacterial small subunit ribosomal RNA", at positions 355 to 776 of the family's 1533-position model. The record is from RNAcentral. Lineage: Bacteria; Pseudomonadati; Verrucomicrobiota.